AUAAAGUCCUAUUUUGAAUAGUGGAAUGAUAGGGUAACGCCUUGAAACGCUAUCUUUAAUACUCCGACAUGCUAUGAGUAGAAUGUGUAAUCAAAAGUAGUGUGAAGCUCGGUGAAGUCGGGCGAAGUAUACCGAAGUGUUCAAUUGAAUAACCGAAAAGGCAAUAGAGGUAUUGUCCGUAUAUGAUAGUCCGGAAGUCGUUAAA
This 205-nucleotide non-coding RNA is filed under the name Psychrobacillus insolitus. Lineage: Bacteria; Bacillati; Bacillota; Bacilli; Caryophanales; Bacillaceae. The record is from RNAcentral.